GACCAGACUCCUACGGGAGGCAGCAGUGGGGAAUAUUGCACAAUGGGGGAAACCCUGAUGCAGCGACGCCGCGUGAGUGAAGAAGUAUUUCGGUACGUAAAGCUCUAUCAGCAGGGAAGAAAAUGACGGUACCUGACCAAGAAGCCCCGGCUAACUACGUGCCAGCAGCCGCGGUAAUACGUAGGGGGCAAGCGUUAUCCGGAUUUACUGGGUGUAAAGGGAGCGUAGACGGCAUGGCAAGUCAGAUGUGAAAGCCCGGGGCUCAACCCCGGGACUGCAUUUGAAACUGUCAGGCUGGAGUGCAGGAGAGGUAAGUGGAAUUCCUAGUGUAGCGGUGAAAUGCGUAGAUAUUAGGAGGAACACCAGUGGCGAAGGCGGCUUACUGGACUGUAACUGACGUUGAGGCUCGAAAGCGUGGGGAGCAAACAGGAUUAGAUACCCCGGUAU
RNAcentral lists this ribosomal RNA (447 nucleotides) under uncultured bacterium. Its description in RNAcentral is "bacterial SSU rRNA". It matches the Rfam family "Bacterial small subunit ribosomal RNA", at positions 329 to 793 of the family's 1533-position model. The record is from RNAcentral.